GUGGAAUCUAACCGUGGCUGGGACACCUCCAGAAGUCCUGUCGUGGUAUUUUCUAUACACAAUUCUACCUGGAGUUGUGUUGCUCCUCUUUGGCAUCACUGCAGCUGUUUGCCUCCACAGACAACUCAGGACCAGGACAUCAAAUCAGGACCCGGCCCAGAGCCAGCUUCAUCUGCAGUCAGGAGGAGAGGUGGUCAUCCCUCAAGCUCAGGUGGGUCCAGAGAGAAGGACAAAAAACAAGCACAGGAGUCAGUACAGGGAAAGGCUCAACUCAAUCUAUGGUCUCUAGUGAGUUAACGGGAAAUUCAACAGAAACACGACACAGUUAUUUCAACUUCAAACCAGGUGCCACAAGUGACGACAGCUGGUGUGCAGCAUCAACACAAUGAAUCCAGUGCAUUAACUUUGAUGGUAGAUUCUGUAUUGUACUCUGUGUAAUGUAAUGUUUUUAUAUUUGAUGGUUUAAUGCACUCUGAGUUCACUGAGGAAAGUGACUUUCAGAGUUUGUUGUUCAUGGCAAUAAA
This is a long non-coding RNA of Limanda limanda (common dab), 524 nucleotides long. RefSeq lists it as uncharacterized. NCBI's taxonomy places the organism in Eukaryota, Metazoa, Chordata, Actinopteri, Pleuronectiformes, Pleuronectidae. The record is from RefSeq and is a predicted model, not a curated record. The transcript has 4 exons.